Molecule: ribosomal RNA, 270 nt
Filed under: uncultured bacterium
Lineage: Bacteria
Description: partial 16S ribosomal RNA
Rfam family: Bacterial small subunit ribosomal RNA
Source: RNAcentral
UGGCGCCGACAGAGGGAGGCGAGGCGGCGACGCGGAGCGAACCCCAAAAACGGCGUCCCAGUUCGGAUUGUAGUCUGCAACCCGACUACAUGAAGCCGGAAUCGCUAGUAAUCGCGGAUCAGAAUGCCGCGGUGAAUACGUUCCCGGGUCUUGUACACACCGCCCGUCACACCAUGGGAGCCGGUAAUGCCCGAAGUCUGUGGCCCAACCGAGAGGGGGGAGCAGCCGAAGGCAGGCCCGGUGACUGGGGUGAAGUCGUAACAAGGUACC